This 389-nucleotide ribosomal RNA is filed under the name Xylanibacter ruminicola. RNAcentral's name for it is "bacterial SSU rRNA". It matches the Rfam family "Bacterial small subunit ribosomal RNA", at positions 506 to 897 of the family's 1533-position model. The record is from RNAcentral. Lineage: Bacteria; Pseudomonadati; Bacteroidota; Bacteroidia; Bacteroidales; Prevotellaceae.
UGCCAGCAGCCGCGGUAAUACGGAAGGUCCGGGCGUUAUCCGGAUUUAUUGGGUUUAAAGGGAGCGCAGGCGGGGAGGUAAGCGUGACGUGAAAUGUAGCCGCUCAACGGCUGAACUGCGUCGCGAACUGNCUCUCUUGAGUGAGUACGACGUCAGCGGAAUUUGUGGUGUAGCGGUGAAAUGCUUAGAUAUCACGAAGAACCCCGAUUGCGAAGGCAGCUGACGAGUCCUUUACUGACGCUAAAGCUCGAAGGUGCGGGUAUCGAACAGGAUUAGAUACCCUGGUAGUCCGCACGGUAAACGAUGGAUGCCCGCUGUUGGCGAUAUACUGUCAGCGGCCAAGCGAAAGCGUUAAGCAUCCCACCUGGGGAGUACGCCGGCAACGGUGA